AGAGAGAGACAUGCGCGCAUAUCAAUAAGCGGAGGAAAAGAAACUAACUAGGAUUCCCUCAGUAACGGCGAGUGAAGCGGGAAGAGCUCAAAUUUGAAAUCUUCAAGGUUCUACCUUGACGAAUUGUAGUUUAAAGAAGUGUUUUCUGUUGGAGUUUUGGUAAAAGUUCUUUGGAAUAGGACAUCAUAGAGGGUGAGAAUCCCGUAUUUGACCAUUAUUUCCAGCUUUGUGAUACACUUUCAAAGAGUCGGAUUGUUUGGGAAUGCAGUCCAAAAUGGGUGGUAAAUUUCAUCUAAAGCUAAAUAUUGGCGAGAGACCGAUAGCGAACAAGUACCGUGAGGGAAAGAUGAAAAGAACUUUGAAAAGAGAGUUAAACAGUACGUGAAAUUGUCAAAAGGGAAGCGUUUGACACCAGUGUUGUUUUCUCGAAAAUCAAUUAAAAAAGGCAGGAUUUUGUGUUGUAUUGACUUUAUCAGCUUUCUGCACUCUUUUCUUGUCUUUUUUAAUGCACUUUUCGUUUAACAAGUCAACAUCAAUUUCUUUUGUUGUAAAAGGGUCAUUGGAAGGUGGCUUUCUUUUCGGAGAAAGUGUUUAUAGCCUUUGGCCUCUGCAAUCGGAGAGAUUGAGGUCUGCAGCGUAGAUCCUUCGGGGUUAGAUACAUUUGUGCUAAGUUAUAGCCUUUCAUAGACAACAUUGUUGACUAUGAUCAGUCAUGUAGCUUACUCGCUUAUGCUAUUUUACCUACGCUUAGGAUGUUGAUGUGAUACUGCGAGC
This 774-nucleotide ribosomal RNA is filed under the name uncultured Neocallimastigales. RNAcentral's name for it is "partial large subunit ribosomal RNA". It matches the Rfam family "Eukaryotic large subunit ribosomal RNA", at positions 23 to 645 of the family's 3401-position model. The record is from RNAcentral. Lineage: Eukaryota; Fungi; Neocallimastigomycota; Neocallimastigomycetes; Neocallimastigales.